AUGGAAUCUCUCUCCGUCCCGAGUGUGCAGGCCAUGGUGGCGGCGACCGGCGGAGUCGAUGUGCCGCCGAGGUAUCUCCGGCCAGAGGCGGUAGUGGAAGCGGUCGCUGGUGCCGGCGACGACGACGGGGAGGCUCAGAUCCCCAUCAUCGACCACCGGAGGCUGCUGCUGGAGCUGGACCGCCGCGGCGAGGAGUCCUCACGCCUCCACAGAGCCUGCCAGGACUGGGGCUUCUUCCAGUUGAUUAACCACAAUGUCCCGGACGACGUGGUGGAGGGAAUGAAGGCCAGCCUCCAAGAAUUCUUCCAGCUGCCCGCAGAGACCAAGAGACGAUUCGCGCAGCAGCAAGGGCGGCUGGAAGGCUACGGUCAGCUGUUCGUCGUCUCGGAGGAUCAGAAGCUCGACUGGGCCGACAUGCUCUUCCUCUACGCACAGCCACCCGAGAUCAGGAAGACCAAGCUCUGGCCUGACCAGCCCGCUACCUUCAGAGCGGCGCUGGAUAGAUAUUCCUGCGCUGUGAAGGAGGUAGCGGAUUCCCUCUUGGCGACGAUGUCGGAGAACUUGGGACUGAAGCGAGAGGUGAUUGCGGACAGGUGCAUCGGAGGGCUGCAGUCUAUCAGAAUGAACCUCUAUCCGCCGUGCGCUCAGGCAGACAAAGUCGUCGGCCUCUCCCCGCACUCGGACGCCGAUCUCCUGACCCUCGUCCUCCAAGUGAACCAUGUCCAAGGCCUGCAGAUCAAGAGGAACGGCAGCUGGUUUGCAGUCAAGCCUGUCGAGGGCGCUUUCGUCGUCAACGUUGGUGAUAUCUUCGAGAUCCUGACGAACGGGAGGUACCGGAGCAUCGAGCACCGCGUGGUGGUCGACCCCAAGGAGGAGCGGCUGUCGGUGGCGGCGUUCCACUCUCCAAACACGCGCGCCACGAUCGGCCCUCUGAAGGAGCUUGUGGCGCGUGCCGACGGGGAGGACGUGGCCUAUGCGACGGUGGAGCAUGAGAGGCUGAGGGAGCUCUUCUUCGCGACGAAGCUGGAGGGGAAGAGCUUCUUGGAGCGGAUGAAGCUCCCAAGUACUACUAGCUGA
This 1077-nucleotide ribosomal RNA is filed under the name Triticum aestivum (bread wheat). Its description in RNAcentral is "partial small subunit ribosomal RNA". The record is from RNAcentral. Lineage: Eukaryota; Viridiplantae; Streptophyta; Magnoliopsida; Poales; Poaceae.